UUGGAAAGAAGACUAUGUUCCACAAACGUCCUGUAUCGGUGAUGUGAUCCACCACUCUCGCAAUCCAAAGCCCUGUCUGGUGAGAUCGUGCUGACCAAACCAUGACUUUGUGCCUGUCAACGGGUGCCAUCGCCAGUCACAGAGACUGUUUAGAAAACUCACAGACACCCGUUUCAUCAUCGUUCACAGAAACACCUGUAUCUGACUGUUUCCCAAUGGAAAAGGACAACCUGUCGUCUGCUUGCGAAGGUCAACAGCAGGGGUCAGGAGAUAACAUUAAUGAUGAAUUUAACAAAAUAAACGACGAGAAACCGAACGACAAAAACACGGAUAUCCAAGAUGGCCUACCUGUGGAUCGCGGUUGGGCCUGGGUCAUCAUGAUAGCCAAUUUCAUGAUCGGCUUAACACUCGGGGGAUAUGGCUGUUCUCUCUCAAUCUUCUUCCUGGAGUUUCAGAUCAUGUUCAACGCUUCGGUUACUACGGCAACCAUUACAUUCGCCCUUAUGACUGUGGCUUUUGGAGUAGGGAAUCUGUUGGUGACGAACGUGCUGAUGACGUCAGAGAACACCCGGAAGCUGGUACUAGUAGGCGCGUGCCUGAGUGCCGUGUCCAUCACCUUGUCUUCCUUCUCGCCGACCAUUUCUUUUCUCAUCAUCUGUCACUGUGUUAUGGGGUUCUCACACGCAAUGAUUGUCAUUCCCAGCAUUACGCUCCAGGGACACUACUUUAAAACCAGACGAUCAUUCGCAACAGCUAUUGCUAACACCGGAGGUAGUGUUGCGGGCAUGGUCUUUCCGCCUCUUGUGCAAUACCUUAUCUCGUCCUAUGGGCCGCGCGGCGCCAUCUUGCUUUCAGGGGGCAUAAACAUGCAAGGCAUCGUAGCCGCUUGCUUGUUACGUCCCGUGGUUUUUUAUCAAAAGUUCUCCCCAAAUCAUGCAGACAAGUUAUCGAGCUCAGAGAACUUGCAAAUUAGCGAAAACCAUCUUAUGAGCAAAAGAAUGAAAUGUGAAGACAAGUCUUUAACCGAUGAAAAUCACGUCACAGAAACGACGAUCGAGACAAGGAGGAGACUUUUAGUCGAUAGCGGCUGUUCGCAAGAAAAAGAGGACGACACAGCAGCAGAAGUCCUUCCCGGGACAAAUCAUGUUGCUCUUAAAUUGAACAUCUCUGACAACCAUCAUAACUGGCAUGAGGCGGCAUCAUCUUUGAAAAUUGUGAGAUCUCGCCAACGUUUUCCGACAAUUCUGGGGGCUUUGUUUUCAAAAGGUCGCCCCUGAACAGCAGCUUGUAUAGCUUGGCCAACGCGCCAUCGGCAUCGCUAGUGGACAUCUGCAGGUCAAACCUCAACUUGAGCACCUUGCUCAGCCCGCAGACUCCUGCUGCCUGCGUCGCAGAUGACACUUCCGGUUUGCCACAAACGGACUGUAGAGAGGCUGCAACGAAAUCCUUGGGACAGAGGUACAUGGCAAAGUUUUUGGAGGUCAUGAAUUUUUCCCUAAUGCGGAACUGGAUGUUUCGCCUCAUCCUCACAUACCAGACUCUGGGCUUCACAAUUGGCUUCGUGGGUCUCUACUUUCCAUCUUUGGCAGUACGCAAUGGUCUGUCUCGGGAGGAGGCAGCUCUUCUGAUAUCUGUGAUUGGAGGAGUGGACCUCUUCAGCAAACUGACCAGCGGCCUGGUAGCGGACUUGGGCUGUAUCCGAAGGACACACCUGGUGGCUAUCGCGCUUGUAAUAACAUCAGUAGCUUGCCAUUUCACCAGGUUUUACACCACAUUCGCCACCUUAGCCUUAUUUGCUGUCGUGUUUGGACUUUUCGCCGGAGUCUGCCCUAAUCUUUCAACUGUUGUAAUAAUUGACCUACUUGGACUCGAGCAUCUGGGAAAAUCCAUGGGACUGUUUCUUGUUGUCAACUCCAUCUUUACAACGGCCAACCAUCCCUUGAUUGGUGCUUUGGUCGAGACAACAGGAAGCAUGAUUCUGCCCUUCCAUUACAUCGGCGUGUGUGUGUUCUUGGGUGCCAUUCUGCUUCUUCUCGAACCGUGCGCGCGGAGGCUGGAGGAGAGGCGAGUGCGUGUGGAAAUGGCGAGAACUUCUAUUUGAAUAGCGAUGCUUCUUCGACGCCCGUCUAAUGCCUAAGUUCUUUAUUUUAAUAAAAACCUUUUUUUUUUUUCAUUCUCAUGCUUUACUUCUCAUUGCCCUCUGGAAUAAAUAAAAUCGCUAUCUUAUAUCCUUUUUUGCUGCUUCACAAAUAAAGUUAUAUUGUCUUCGUAUCAAUAUAAUGGCCUUGUCAUAUUUUAUAUACUUCCUCAGAAUCUUGAGUAAACAUUGGUAUAUGUCGUCGAUCACUGGGUUACUGAGAUAUGUUGCUACACCAUUCACCUAUCAUAGAAUGAAUUUUCUUUCCUUAAGCACAAGGCAGAAUCCUAAUCCUAACCAUAGACAGGCUCUUGAAUAUUUUCAGGGAAGGAUUCAUGGAUGCGAAUGCUUUCAUGUAUGAAUGUUAUAUCUUUCUACAUUUUGAUGUACGAACAGUAGUUUCGUUUACUCCUUGUUACACCUCAAGAAUCGUAUUGCCGCAGAUGUACAAACAGGCAAUUAAUAAACUAUACAAG
RNAcentral lists this unclassified non-coding RNA (2613 nucleotides) under Pomacea canaliculata. RNAcentral's name for it is "monocarboxylate transporter 14-like, transcript variant X1". Lineage: Eukaryota; Metazoa; Mollusca; Gastropoda; Architaenioglossa; Ampullariidae. The record is from RNAcentral.